AGCGGCACUGAAAGGAGAAGAGUUGUGAAGAUGUACUGCUGAAUUUUGUGAUAUCCAUUUUUUUUGUCUGAUUUUUCACCAAUUUCUCAGUGAAGAUAUGCCGGAUUUCUGUAAAACGACAUGUUUCAGAGAUUCUAGUUUGAAAUAAAGAGAGAAAGAAGCAAAAUAAAUUCACCUUAGAGAGGCAGAGCACCUGCACAGAGACCCUUGCUGCUCUGUGCUCCUCUACCCACCUAAAGGAACACCAAAAAGGAAAAGAUUGUGGAAGAAACAUAAUGUUUGUAAAGAAGCUUCUUCAGCCUGAGGUUGGUUGGGAAACUGCAACAGCAGCUAAUAUUGGAUGUGACCCCUUUUUUCAGAACAUGCCAGUGCAAGAUGGAAAGGUGAGAAAGCUUCAAAACAAGAGUCUAUUGAGGACUGUGUGAGCCGAGGUUCACCCUUUGGCAAGCUAGUGUCAGCGUAUGUUCAUUAAAUUUGCUAAAAUGUGCUGGAAAGAAGCUGAAAAGGCUGCUGGAUUCUUCAGAACAGGCAUCACAGCACAGGGACAAAGGCACAAGGGAUGCAGGCCACUGCUCAGACACUGAGGAAGAGGAUGAGAGGGUGGAAGACAAGGACUUUGGUGUUUGCAACCUCAUAUAAGAUCUGCACUUGCUUGGAUGGAGCACACUGAAAAGAGUCAGAGCAGCUUCGGUCUGAAACAUUGUCCCGGACACAGAUCAGCAAAACGGCAAGCACAGAGGAAAUAUUCGGCACAAGUCUUCAGAUGCAACUCAGAAUGGGUCUUUGAUUCAAAGCUGGUCCUGGCACAGAUCCUUCAGCAUCACUCAAAUUGUGGAAGAGGGGAGUGUCUAUCCUCCCGUCAAAACAAAUGGUGAUUGAGAGGAGAUUUGGUCAGAAGAACCUGUGACUGAUCUUUCAGAGAUGUUUCCUGACACUGCCAGAACCCCCACUGGAAUCUAUGCUACAAAGAGACUGCCUAUAAAGGGAGCUGCGGGCCGCGCUGUGCAAUUUAAAUGCCCUGAAAUGCCACUACUGAGUCCCACCACAAUGGAGAGGCAGGAGAUUCAGCAGUAGUCUUCCUCCUGGUGGUCUGCAUGCUGUACCUAAUCUACUCCUCCAUGGAGGAGCAGCUGUCCAAUCCUUUCACCGUUCUGCUCCAAGGUCAGCAUGAAGCUGCUCUCAUAUCCACCUCACAGGACUAAUCUGCCACGGUCACAACACCUUGCCAAAGAAGGUUAAUUCAAAUUUACCUCUGGCUCUAGUCAGUCAAGUGUCCUUCAGGAGUUUCUUUUUAAGCUGGUGUCAGAGGAAACUGCAGGAAACCCAAAGAGCUACUGUACAUCAGAACACCUGCAUUCUUUGCCACAAUGCCUUCCUUCAAAGAGAAUGAUAAACUGAAUUGAUGAGACAUGUAGUUGGCUAAUCCUGUGCAUUGGGUGCUGUUCUCAGAUAUAAUCUUACCACCGGUGUAUUUUAUACAGUUUGAGUUGAACUCUCACAGAAAUGAUCACAUUCUUCUCUUAUACCGCUGGACUGAUUCAUCUUGCCGUUUUAAAUGUGUAUUUUGUUUUGUGAGUAAAUAAAUGUUCUCCUGAGAUUGUUCUGUCUCUUAAAGAUAAAUUUAUAUUAACACCAAGGAGGGUCUUUAGAUGCCAAAUUUGUGUAAAUGAGACCAAUGGCCCUGAAAAAUAAAGCCUGGGAAAAUGUA
Carassius gibelio (silver crucian carp) is the source of this 1708-nucleotide long non-coding RNA. RefSeq lists it as uncharacterized. The record is from RefSeq and is a predicted model, not a curated record. Lineage: Eukaryota; Metazoa; Chordata; Actinopteri; Cypriniformes; Cyprinidae. The transcript has 7 exons.